This 3353-nucleotide ribosomal RNA is filed under the name Dendrobium catenatum. RNAcentral's name for it is "eukaryotic LSU rRNA". It matches the Rfam family "Eukaryotic large subunit ribosomal RNA". The record is from RNAcentral. Lineage: Eukaryota; Viridiplantae; Streptophyta; Magnoliopsida; Asparagales; Orchidaceae.
ACCCCAGGAUGGACAAGGCCACCCACCGAGUUUAAGGAUAUCAGUAAGUGUAGAAGAAGAAACUUAUGAAGAUUUCCCUAGUAAUAGGAAGAAAAUUGGGAGUGGCCUAAUAUUGGAAUCGAGCUACCAUAUAAUAGCUUAAAUUAUAGUAUGGAGAAGCAUUAUUAAUGAUUGAUCGGGCCCAAGUCCCCAUAAAUGGGGCAUCAGGGAGGUUAAGAGCCCCAUUUGGCCUAAACCCUAUUGCAUCACAAGGCAUUGGCAAUGAGUUAGGUUUUUUGGGAAUGCAGCCCUAAUAAGGACAUAAAUUCAAUCCAAUGUUAAAUAUAGGCGAGAGAUCGAUAGUGAAUAAAUACUACGAGGGAAUGAUGAAAAUGACUUUUAAAAUAUAGUCAAAGUGUGCUUGAAAUUAUUAAGAGGAAAGCAGAUGGGGGCGUCGUUGCAUCUUGGAAUGAAGUGAAAUGGUUGUGGCUUGUCCACUACUCUACUUAAGAUGUUGAUCGUUGUAGGCAUUCCAGACCUAGGUGAUUGACACUCUAGGAGGCACCAUCAUGGCGGUCGGCCAACAUAGUAGUUAUGUAUAAGGAGAGACUUUUAAGGGAUCUCACAUGCCCAUCACAAUGGCUAGUGAUCUUCCCAUUUGACCCAUCUUAUAACAUGAACCAAGGGGACUAACAUGCGUGUGAGUCAACAGGUGAUGAAACUUGAUGGGCGCAAGGAAGUUGAUGUGUGGGAUCCUCUUUUAUAGGUGCACCACCGAUCAGCCCAGGUCUCCUAUGAAGGGUUUAAGUGUAUGCAUGUGUGUUAGGUUCCAAAAGAUGGUGAACUAUGCAUGAGCAAGGCAAAUCCAAAGGAAACUCUUGUGGAGGCCUGGAAUGAUACUAACAUGCAAAUCAUUUAUAUGGUUAAGAUAUAAGGGUGAAAGUCUAAUCAAACCAUCUAGUAUCUAGUUCCCUCUAAAGUUUUCCUCAGGAUAGCUGGAGCCCCAUUUGGAGUUCUAUCAAUUAAAGCUAAUGAUUAGAGGCAUCAGGGGUACAAUGCCCAUGACAUAUUAUCAAACAUUUAAGAGGUAGGAUGGCUAGGCUGCUUUGAUGAGUCGUGCCUCUAAAUUGAGAGCUCCAAGUGGGCAAUUUUUUAUAAGCAGAACUGACAAAUACGGGAUGAUUCAAAAGCUAGGUUACAUUGCCCAAUUGCGUGCUAACUUAAAACCCAUAAAGGGUGUUGGUUGAUUAAGACAUCAAGAGGAUGGUCAAGGAAGUCAAAAUCCACUAAGCUGUGUGUAACAACUCACCUACAAAAUCAACUAGCCCCAAACUAAGAUGGCACUUAAGUGCGUGACCCACACACUCUUAUCAGGGUAAUGUCUAGGCCUAGAUGAGUAGGAGGGCAUGGUGGUCAUCAUAAAACUAGGGGUGUGAGCAGGUACAAAGUGGUCAUUAGUGCGAGUCUUAGUGGUAGUCAUAAAUAUUAAAAUGAGAGUUUUAAAGUUUGAAUGAGGGAAUGGUUCCAUAAGAACAAAACUUAAACAUGGGUUAGUGAUCCUAAGAGAUGGGGGAUGUCUGUAAGAGAGCGUCACUUCACAUGAGCUUUGAAAGGGAGUCAGGUUAAAAUUCUUGAGCAAUGAUGUGGUGGCUGAUAACUAUAUUAUGUAGUCUAAAGACACAUACGGGGGCCUCGGAAAGAGUUAUCUUUUCUACUUAAAAACAUUUUUACCUAAAGGUAGAGUAUAAUAGUUGGAAGACCUUUGUAUGUUGAAUAACUUCUGGUGCGGCCCUAGUGGCCCCUAAAAAUUCUAAGGGCUAAGUGCUAGCCAUGCCCGAUCAUACUCAUAACUACAUCAGGUUUCCAAGGUGAAUAGCCUAUAGUUAAUAGAGCAAUAUAGGCAAGGGAAGUCAACAAAAUGGAUUCAUAACUUUAGGAAAAUGAUUGGCUCUAAAGGUUGGGCACUGGGGUCCUAAUCCCAAAUCCACCGUCUAUUGGUAAACUUCUUAAGCUACACUUGUAGUGAGAGUGGGCUGUGACAUGUGAGCUGGGGGUAAAUUGGGAAUGGCACACUUGGGGACCAUCCUCAGGAGAUAAAUAACCAACUCAAAAUUGGUAUGAUCAAGGGGAAUCUGACUAUUUAAUUAAAAAACCCAUUACGAGAUCCCAGCAAAUUCUCACAAAAUGUGAUUUCUACCAUGUGUACUGAAUGCCAAAGUGAAGAAAUUCCACCAUACACAGAUAAAUGAUGGGAGUAACUAUGACUCUCUUAAGUUAUACAAAGGCCUUAUAGUCUAAUUAGUAAUAUGUAUGAAUGGAUUAACAAGAUUCCCACUAUCCCUAUCUAUAAUCUAGCGAAACCAUAGCCAAGCGAAUGGGCUUAGCAGAAUUAGCAGGAAAAGAAAAUCCUAUUGAGCUUGACUCUAGUCUAACAUUAUGAAAUAACUUGAGAGAUGUAGAAUAAGUGGGAUUUGGCUCUCCAAAAUACUACUACUUUUAACAUUAUUUUAUUUAUUCCAUGAGAUAGGUGAGGCCUAGCCCCUUCUUUUGGCUUUUAAGUCUCAUCUCAGUGGGUUGAUCAAGGCAUAAGACAUUAUCAAGUAGGGAGUUUGGCUUGGGUGGAACAUAAGUUAAAAGAUAACAUAGGAGUCCUAAGAUGAGCUCAAUGAGAACAAAAAUCUAAUAUGGAAAAAAGGUUAAAAGCUUGUUUGAUUUUAAUUUUAAAUAUGAAUACAAACUGUGAAUGCAUGGCCAAUCAAUCCUUUAGUCAUUCAAAAUUUGAAACUAGAGGUGUCAAAAAAGAUACCACAGGGAUAAAUGACUUGUCGCAGUGAAUCAUUCAUAGCAAUGUUACUUUUGAUUCUUCGAUGUUGGUUCUUCUAUCAUUAUGAAGCAUAAUUCACCAAGUGCUGGAUUGUUCACCCUCCAAUAAGGAACAUGAGUUGGGUUUAAACAAUCAUGAGACAGGUUAGUUUUACCCUAUUGAUGAUCAUGCAGUGAUAAUAAUUAAACCUAGUAUAAGGAAAACCAUUGAUUAACAAAAUUGGUCAUCACAUUUGGCUGAAAGGCUAGUGGCACAAAGCUACCAUGUGCAGGACUAUGACUGAGCAUUUCUAAGUUAGAAUCCAUGCUAAAAAUAUGGUGCCUAAGCCCAUCAUUUUCCUGCCAACCAGAAGUACGGGAUUUGGCCCCCAAGGGUAAUGGUAUCAGAUGGUUUCGUGUCGUCAUCAAGAACACUAUCAUGAAGGCCUAGAAAUGUAGUUUUGAAUGGAUGAUGGGUUGAAUCCUUUGCAUAUGUCAUAAAUUUAUGACUAGGUGUUAUAUAUGGAAGAGUGGCCUUUACUGCCACGACCAACUUAGAUAUGGCCCUAUGU